This 74-nucleotide transfer RNA is filed under the name Candidatus Nitrosopumilus sp. RNAcentral's name for it is "Nitrosopumilus sp. tRNA-Lys". It matches the Rfam family "tRNA". Rfam says of the family: Transfer RNA (tRNA) molecules are approximately 80 nucleotides in length. Their secondary structure includes four short double-helical elements and three loops (D, anti-codon, and T loops). RNAcentral also lists the same sequence under 2 other names. The record is from RNAcentral. Lineage: Archaea; Thermoproteati; Nitrososphaerota; Nitrososphaeria; Nitrosopumilales; Nitrosopumilaceae.
GGGUUCGUAGCUCAGCCAGGUAGAGCGUCUGGCUCUUAACCAGAAAGUCGUGGGUCCGAAUCCCACCGAACCCG